GACGAACCGUGCAAACGUUGUUCGGAAUCACUGGGCUUAAAGGGCGCGUAGGCGGGCACGCCAGUCAGGGGUGAAAUCCCACGGCUCAACCGUGGAAGUGCCUUUGAUACUGCGUGCCUUGGGGGAGGUAGGGGCGUGCGGAACUUCCGGUGGAGCGGUGAAAUGCGUAGAUAUCGGAAGGAACACCGGUGGCGAAAGCGGCGCGCUGGAUCUCUACUGACGCUGAGGCGCGAAAGCCAGGGGAGCAAACGGG
RNAcentral lists this ribosomal RNA (253 nucleotides) under uncultured bacterium. RNAcentral describes it as "partial 16S ribosomal RNA". It matches the Rfam family "Bacterial small subunit ribosomal RNA", at positions 524 to 776 of the family's 1533-position model. The record is from RNAcentral.